GGGUUGUGAGGUUAAGCGACUAAGCGUACACGGUGGAUGCCCUGGCAGUCAGAGGCGAUGAAGGACGUGCUAAUCUGCGAUAAGCGUCGGUAAGGUGAUAUGAACCGUUAUAACCGGCGAUUUCCGAAUGGGGAAACCCAGUGUGUUUCGACACACUAUCAUUAACUGAAUCCAUAGGUUAAUGAGGCGAACCGGGGGAACUGAAACAUCUAAGUACCCCGAGGAAAAGAAAUCAACCGAGAUUCCCCCAGUAGCGGCGAGCGAACGGGGAGCAGCCCAGAGCCUGAAUCAGUAUGUGUGUUAGUGGAAGCGUCUGGAAAGGCGCGCGAUACAGGGUGACAGCCCCGUACACAAAAAUGCACAUACUGUGAGCUCGAUGAGUAGGGCGGGACACGUGGUAUCCUGUCUGAAUAUGGGGGGACCAUCCUCCAAGGCUAAAUACUCCUGACUGACCGAUAGUGAACCAGUACCGUGAGGGAAAGGCGAAAAGAACCCCGGCGAGGGGAGUGAAAAAGAACCUGAAACCGUGUACGUACAAGCAGUGGGAGCACGCUUAGGCGUGUGACUGCGUACCUUUUGUAUAAUGGGUCAGCGACUUAUAUUCUGUAGCAAGGUUAACCGAAUAGGGGAGCCGAAGGGAAACCGAGUCUUAACUGGGCGUUAAGUUGCAGGGUAUAGACCCGAAACCCGGUGAUCUAGCCAUGGGCAGGUUGAAGGUUGGGUAACACUAACUGGAGGACCGAACCGACUAAUGUUGAAAAAUUAGCGGAUGACUUGUGGCUGGGGGUGAAAGGCCAAUCAAACCGGGAGAUAGCUGGUUCUCCCCGAAAGCUAUUUAGGUAGCGCCUCGUGAAUUCAUCUCCGGGGGUAGAGCACUGUUUCGGCAAGGGGGUCAUCCCGACUUACCAACCCGAUGCAAACUGCGAAUACCGGAGAAUGUUAUCACGGGAGACACACGGCGGGUGCUAACGUCCGUCGUGAAGAGGGAAACAACCCAGACCGCCAGCUAAGGUCCCAAAGUCAUGGUUAAGUGGGAAACGAUGUGGGAAGGCCCAGACAGCCAGGAUGUUGGCUUAGAAGCAGCCAUCAUUUAAAGAAAGCGUAAUAGCUCACUGGUCGAGUCGGCCUGCGCGGAAGAUGUAACGGGGCUAAACCAUGCACCGAAGCUGCGGCAGCGACGCUUAUGCGUUGUUGGGUAGGGGAGCGUUCUGUAAGCCUGCGAAGGUGUGCUGUGAGGCAUGCUGGAGGUAUCAGAAGUGCGAAUGCUGACAUAAGUAACGAUAAAGCGGGUGAAAAGCCCGCUCGCCGGAAGACCAAGGGUUCCUGUCCAACGUUAAUCGGGGCAGGGUGAGUCGACCCCUAAGGCGAGGCCGAAAGGCGUAGUCGAUGGGAAACAGGUUAAUAUUCCUGUACUUGGUGUUACUGCGAAGGGGGGACGGAGAAGGCUAUGUUGGCCGGGCGACGGUUGUCCCGGUUUAAGCGUGUAGGCUGGUUUUCCAGGCAAAUCCGGAAAAUCAAGGCUGAGGCGUGAUGACGAGGCACUACGGUGCUGAAGCAACAAAUGCCCUGCUUCCAGGAAAAGCCUCUAAGCAUCAGGUAACAUCAAAUCGUACCCCAAACCGACACAGGUGGUCAGGUAGAGAAUACCAAGGCGCUUGAGAGAACUCGGGUGAAGGAACUAGGCAAAAUGGUGCCGUAACUUCGGGAGAAGGCACGCUGAUAUGUAGGUGAAGUCCCUCGCGGAUGGAGCUGAAAUCAGUCGAAGAUACCAGCUGGCUGCAACUGUUUAUUAAAAACACAGCACUGUGCAAACACGAAAGUGGACGUAUACGGUGUGACGCCUGCCCGGUGCCGGAAGGUUAAUUGAUGGGGUCAGCGCAAGCGAAGCUCUUGAUCGAAGCCCCGGUAAACGGCGGCCGUAACUAUAACGGUCCUAAGGUAGCGAAAUUCCUUGUCGGGUAAGUUCCGACCUGCACGAAUGGCGUAAUGAUGGCCAGGCUGUCUCCACCCGAGACUCAGUGAAAUUGAACUCGCUGUGAAGAUGCAGUGUACCCGCGGCAAGACGGAAAGACCCCGUGAACCUUUACUAUAGCUUGACACUGAACAUUGAGCCUUGAUGUGUAGGAUAGGUGGGAGGCUUUGAAGUGUGGACGCCAGUCUGCAUGGAGCCGACCUUGAAAUACCACCCUUUAAUGUUUGAUGUUCUAACGUGGACCCGUGAUCCGGGUUGCGGACAGUGUCUGGUGGGUAGUUUGACUGGGGCGGUCUCCUCCUAAAGAGUAACGGAGGAGCACGAAGGUUGGCUAAUCCUGGUCGGACAUCAGGAGGUUAGUGCAAUGGCAUAAGCCAGCUUGACUGCGAGCGUGACGGCGCGAGCAGGUGCGAAAGCAGGUCAUAGUGAUCCGGUGGUUCUGAAUGGAAGGGCCAUCGCUCAACGGAUAAAAGGUACUCCGGGGAUAACAGGCUGAUACCGCCCAAGAGUUCAUAUCGACGGCGGUGUUUGGCACCUCGAUGUCGGCUCAUCACAUCCUGGGGCUGAAGUAGGUCCCAAGGGUAUGGCUGUUCGCCAUUUAAAGUGGUACGCGAGCUGGGUUUAGAACGUCGUGAGACAGUUCGGUCCCUAUCUGCCGUGGGCGCUGGAGAACUGAGGGGGGCUGCUCCUAGUACGAGAGGACCGGAGUGGACGCAUCACUGGUGUUCGGGUUGUCAUGCCAAUGGCACUGCCCGGUAGCUAAAUGCGGAAGAGAUAAGUGCUGAAAGCAUCUAAGCACGAAACUUGCCCCGAGAUGAGUUCUCCCUGACUCCUUGAGAGUCCUGAAGGAACGUUGAAGACGACGACGUUGAUAGGCCGGGUGUGUAAGCGCAGCGAUGCGUUGAGCUAACCGGUACUAAUGAACCGUGAGGCUUAACCUUACAACGCCGAAGGUGUUU
This 2931-nucleotide ribosomal RNA is filed under the name Escherichia coli. Its description in RNAcentral is "23S ribosomal RNA". It matches the Rfam family "Bacterial large subunit ribosomal RNA". The record is from RNAcentral. Lineage: Bacteria; Pseudomonadati; Pseudomonadota; Gammaproteobacteria; Enterobacterales; Enterobacteriaceae.